This 692-nucleotide ribosomal RNA is filed under the name uncultured organism. RNAcentral's name for it is "bacterial SSU rRNA". It matches the Rfam family "Bacterial small subunit ribosomal RNA", at positions 708 to 1407 of the family's 1533-position model. The record is from RNAcentral.
AUCGCGAAAGCAGCUUCCUAGGCUAUUACUGACACUUGAGGCACGAAAGCGUGGGGAGCGAACAGGAUUAGAUACCCUGGUAGUCCACGCCGUAAACGAUGCUCACUCGCUGUUGGCGAUAUAUUGUCAGCAGUUAAGCUAAAGCAUUAAGUGAGCCACCUGGGAAGUACGUCCGCAAGGAUGAAACUCAAAGGAAUUGACGGGGGCCCGCACAACCGGUGGAACAUGUGGUUCAAUUCGAUGAUACGCGAGGAACCUUACCUGGGCUUAAAUGUAGUUUGACUUCCGCCGAAAGGCGGUUUUCCUUCGGGACAAAUUACAAGGUGCUCCACGGCUGUCGUCAGCUCGUGCCGUGAGGUAUCGGAUUAAGUCCCUUAACGAGCGCAACCCCUAUUGUUAGUUACCAACAGGUUAAGCUGGGGACUCUAGCAAAACUGCCAGCGUAAGCUGGAGGAAGGUGGGGAUGACGUCAAGUCAGCAUGGCCCUUAUGUCCAGGGCUACACACGUGUUACAAUGGCCGAUACAAAGGGCAGCCACCACGCGAGUGGGAGCUAAUCCUUAAAAUCGGUCUCAGUUCGGAUCGAAGUCUGCAAUUCGACUUCGUGAAGGUGGAAUCGGUAGUAAUCGCGCAUCAGCAAUGGCGCGGUGAAUACGUUCCCGGGCCUUGUACACACUGCCCGUCAAGCCAUGG